CUUUAUUGACUCAUCUCUUGGCUUUACCAUGGGAUGGUUGUAUUGGGCAUUGUGGUCAUUAGU
This 63-nucleotide small RNA is filed under the name Staphylococcus aureus. Its description in RNAcentral is "HMPRFS0000_1437". The record is from RNAcentral. Lineage: Bacteria; Bacillati; Bacillota; Bacilli; Caryophanales; Staphylococcaceae.